AUGUUGUGGUUCCACUUCAAAGUCGAAUAAAUCUUUUGCCUUUUACUAAAGAUUUCCGUGGAGUGGAACACCUGAUGAGUUUAUUCUGAAAGAUAUGUUGUCAGUUCCAGAUAAUUUAU
Nilaparvata lugens (brown planthopper) is the source of this 119-nucleotide small nuclear RNA. RefSeq annotates it as U5 spliceosomal RNA. The record is from RefSeq and is a predicted model, not a curated record. Lineage: Eukaryota; Metazoa; Arthropoda; Insecta; Hemiptera; Delphacidae. The transcript has a single exon.